RNAcentral lists this ribosomal RNA (256 nucleotides) under uncultured bacterium. Its description in RNAcentral is "partial 16S ribosomal RNA". It matches the Rfam family "Bacterial small subunit ribosomal RNA", at positions 521 to 776 of the family's 1533-position model. The record is from RNAcentral.
UAAUACGAAGGGGGCUAGCGUUGCUCGGAAUUACUGGGCGUAAAGGGCGCGUAGGCGGACAGUUUAGUCGGGGGUGAAAGCCCGGGGCUCAACCUCGGAAUUGCCUUCGAUACUGGCUGUCUUGAGUACGGGAGAGGUGUGUGGAACUCCGAGUGUAGAGGUGAAAUUCGUAGAUAUUCGGAAGAACACCAGUGGCGAAGGCGACACACUGGCCCGUUACUGACGCUGAGGCGCGAAAGCGUGGGGAGCAAACAGG